RNAcentral lists this ribosomal RNA (560 nucleotides) under uncultured bacterium. Its description in RNAcentral is "bacterial SSU rRNA". It matches the Rfam family "Bacterial small subunit ribosomal RNA", at positions 338 to 916 of the family's 1533-position model. The record is from RNAcentral.
CCUACGGGAGGCAGCAGUGGGGAAUCUUAGACAAUGGGGGAAACCCUGAUCUAGCCAUGCCGCGUGAGCGAUGAAGGCCUUAGGGUUGUAAAGCUCUUUCAGUGGGGAAGAUAAUGACUGUACCCACAGAAGAAGCCCCGGCUAACUCCGUGCCAGCAGCCGCGGUAAUACGGAGGGGGCUAGCGUUGUUCGGAAUUACUGGGCGUAAAGCGCACGUAGGCGGAUCAGUUAGUCAGGGGUGAAAUCCCGGGGCUCAACCCCGGAACUGCCUUUGAUACUGCUGAUCUGGAGGUCGAGAGAGGUGAGUGGAAUUCCGAGUGUAGAGGUGAAAUUCGUAGAUAUUCGGAGGAACCCCAGUGGCGAAGGCGGCUCACUGGCUCGAUACUGACGCUGAGGUGCGAAAGCGUGGGGAGCAAACAGGAUUAGGUACCAUGGUAGUCCACGCCGUAAACGAUGAGAGCUAGUUGUCAGGGGGCAUCCCCUUUGGUGAUGCAGUUAAUGCAUUAAGCUGUCCGCCUGGGGAGUCCGGCCGCAAGGUUAAAACUCAAAUGAAUUGACGG